AACCUUACCAAGACUUGACAUCCCGCUGACCGGUUUAGAGAUAGACCUUCCCUUCGGGGCAGCGGUGACAGGUGGUGCAUGGUUGUCGUCAGCUCGUGUCGUGAGAUGUUGGGUUAAGUCCCGCAACGAGCGCAACCCCUAAAUUGUGUUGCCAUCAUUCAGUUGGGCACUCACAAUUGACUGCCGGUGACAAACCGGAGGAAGGCGGGGAUGACGUCAAAUCAUCAUGCCCCUUAUGUCUUGGGCUACACACGUGCUACAAUGGGCGGUACGAAGGGUUGCGAUGCCGCGAGGCAGAGCCAAUCCCAAAAAGCCGCUCACAGUUCGGAUUGCAGGCUGCAACUCGCCUGCAUGAAGCUGGAAUUGCUAGUAAUCGCGGAUCAGCAUGCCGCGGUGAAUUCGUUCCCGGGCCUUGUACACACCGCCCGUCACACCAUGGGAGUUGGCAACACCCGAAGCCGGUGAGGUAACCGCAAGGAGCCAGCCGUCUAAGGUGGGGUCGAUGACUGGGGUGAAGUCGUAUCAGUAGCCAGGGCGAUUCCAGCACACUGCGCCGUACUAGUGAUU
Molecule: ribosomal RNA, 567 nt
Filed under: uncultured bacterium
Lineage: Bacteria
Description: bacterial SSU rRNA
Rfam family: Bacterial small subunit ribosomal RNA
Source: RNAcentral